Molecule: ribosomal RNA, 343 nt
Filed under: Dohrniphora trigonae
Lineage: Eukaryota; Metazoa; Arthropoda; Insecta; Diptera; Phoridae
Description: partial 12S ribosomal RNA
Source: RNAcentral
AAUGUAAUUUUAAAAACUUGAGUAUUAAUAGUUAUAUUCUUUAAACUUAAAAAAUUUGGCGGUAUUUUAGUCUAUUCAGAGGAACCUGUUUUUUAAUCGAUAUUCCACGUUGGACCUUACUUAAUUUUAUAUAUUAGUUUGUAUACCGUCGUUAUAGAAAAUUUUAAAAGAAUAAUAAUUUUCAAUAAAUUUUAUAAAAUUUAAUAUCAGAUCAAGGUGCAGCUUAUAGUUAAGAUAAUAAUGGGUUACAAUAAAUUUAUUUAUAUGAAUAUGAAUAUGCAAAAUUUAUUGAAGGUGGAUUUGAAAGUAAAAUUAUAGAGAUUAUUAAUUUGAUUUUAGCUCU